RNAcentral lists this ribosomal RNA (207 nucleotides) under uncultured Mesotoga sp. RNAcentral describes it as "partial 16S ribosomal RNA". It matches the Rfam family "Bacterial small subunit ribosomal RNA", at positions 568 to 774 of the family's 1533-position model. The record is from RNAcentral. Lineage: Bacteria; Thermotogati; Thermotogota; Thermotogae; Kosmotogales; Kosmotogaceae.
AGUGUAGGUGGCCUAACAUGUCAACUGUGAAAACCCGGAGCUCAACUCCGGACUUGCAGUUGAAACUGGUAGGCUUGAGGACGGUAGAGGAAGACGGAACUGCCAGUGUAGGGGUAAAAUCCUUAGAUAUUGGCAGGAACGCCGGUGACGAAGGUGGUUUUCUGGGCCGGUUCUGACACUGAUGCUCGAAAGCCAGGGGAGCGAACG